Molecule: ribosomal RNA, 495 nt
Filed under: uncultured bacterium
Lineage: Bacteria
Description: partial 16S ribosomal RNA
Rfam family: Bacterial small subunit ribosomal RNA
Source: RNAcentral
GACGAACGCUGGCGGCGUGCCUAAUACAUGCAAGUAGAACGCUGAAGGAGGAGCUUGCUUCUCCGGAUGAGUUGCGAACGGGUGAGUAACGCGUAGGUAACCUGCCUGGUAGCGGGGGAUAACUAUUGGAAACGAUAGCUAAUACCGCAUAACAGUAGAUGCUGCAUGACAUUUGCUUAAAAGGUGCAAUUGCAUCACUACCAGAUGGACCUGCGUUGUAUUGGCUAGUUGGUGAGGUAACGGCUCACCAAGGCGGCGAUACAUGGCCGACCUGAGAGGGGGGUCAGCCACACUGGGACUGAGACACGGCCCAGACUCCUUCAGGAGGCAGCAAUAGUGAAUCUUCAGCCAUGGGCGGAAGACUGACCGCGCAACGCCGCGUGAGUGAAGAAGGUUGUCGGAUCGUAAAGCUCUGUUGUAAGGGAAGAACGAGUGUGAGAGUGGGAAGUUCACACUGUGACGGUAUCUUACCAGAAAGGGACGGCUAACUACGUG